This 489-nucleotide ribosomal RNA is filed under the name uncultured bacterium. RNAcentral's name for it is "bacterial SSU rRNA". It matches the Rfam family "Bacterial small subunit ribosomal RNA", at positions 37 to 518 of the family's 1533-position model. The record is from RNAcentral.
UAGCGACAGGCUAACACAUGCAAGUCGAGGGGCAGCACGGGAGUAGCAAUACGUUGGUGGCGACCGGCGCACGGGUGAGUAACGCGUAUGCAACCUACCUAUCAGAGGGGAAGUAACCCGGCGAAAGUCGGACUAAUACCGCAUAAAACAGGGGCACCGCAUGGUGAUAUUUGUUAAAGAAAUUCGCUGAUAGAUGGGCAUGCGUUCCAUUAGGUAGUUGGUGAGGUAACGGCUCACCAAGCCGACGAUGGAUAGGGGAACUGAGAGGUUGGUCCCCCACACUGGUACUGAGACACGGACCAGACUCCUACGGGAGGCAGCAGUGAGGAAUAUUGGUCAAUGGGCGGGAGCCUGAACCAGCCAAGUCGCGUGAAGGAAGAAGGAUCUAUGGUUCGUAAACUUCUUUUGCAGGGGUAUAAAGUGCAGGACGUGUCCUGUUUUGUAUGUACCCUGAGAAUAAGGAUCGGCUAACUCCGUGCCAGCCGCCGC